This 260-nucleotide ribosomal RNA is filed under the name uncultured bacterium. RNAcentral describes it as "partial 16S ribosomal RNA". It matches the Rfam family "Bacterial small subunit ribosomal RNA", at positions 1060 to 1320 of the family's 1533-position model. The record is from RNAcentral.
UCGUGUCGUGAGAUGUUGGGUUAAGUCCCGCAACGAGCGCAACCCCUAUCCUUUGUUGCCAGCACGCAAUGGUGGGAACUCAAAGGAGACUGCGCGGACAACGCGGAGGAAGGCGGGGAUGACGUCAAGUCAUCAUGCCCCUUAUGUCCUGGGCUACACACGUACUACAAUGGGAUGGACAGAGAGCAGCGAAGCCGCGAGGCCAAGCGAACCCCAUAAACCAUCUCCCAGUUCGGAUUGCAGGCUGCAACCCGCCUGCA